This 307-nucleotide ribosomal RNA is filed under the name uncultured Planctomycetota bacterium. RNAcentral's name for it is "bacterial SSU rRNA". It matches the Rfam family "Bacterial small subunit ribosomal RNA", at positions 29 to 351 of the family's 1533-position model. Lineage: Bacteria; Pseudomonadati; Planctomycetota. The record is from RNAcentral.
AAUGAACGUUGGCGGCGUGGAUUAGGCAUGCAAGUCGAGCGCUAACCGUAGCAAUACGGCGAGAGCGGCGAAAGGGAGAGUAACACGUGGAUACCUGCCCUCGGGUCCAGGAUAGCUGCGGGAAACUGCAGGUAAUACUGGAUGACAUCUCCGGAUCAAAGGUGUGAUUCCGCCCGGGGAGGGGUCCGCGUCCUAUUAGCUAGUUGGCGAGGUAACGGCUCACCAAGGCGAAGAUGGGUAUGGGGGUGUGAGAGCAUGCCCCCACUCACUGGGACUGAGACACUGCCCAGACACCUACGGGUGGCAG